Molecule: long non-coding RNA, 1875 nt
Organism: Glossina fuscipes
Lineage: Eukaryota; Metazoa; Arthropoda; Insecta; Diptera; Glossinidae
Exons: 2
Source: RefSeq, a predicted model, not a curated record
UACUUCUGAUGUUCCAAGACAUGCUUAAUCAUUGCUGUUAUUAUUGUUAUUGUUGUUGUUCAUGCAAUAAUUUAAAUUGUAAUGGAAUUUUUGCAAUUAAUACUUGAAAACAAAACUCAGCGCAACGAUGGCUUAUUGUUCUAUAGUUGUACGAUAAUGAUUAAGUUAGAACUACGGUUAUUAAUAACUAUUGAAAAAGCUAGAAUCUGCUCAGUGAAUGAUGCGAGUACUAGACGUAGUAAUAUUAGCGUCGAUCCAUCACAGUAAGUUGAUGAUACCUAAGAUCAGUCGCUAGUUAAACGUUGGCUAAGACGGUUUAUUAAAUAAUUGAAAACGCGUAUGUGAGAAAAAUAAUUUUUUUAUAUAAAUAUACUAACAAGUCGUUCAGCAUAAAAAAAAAAAUAUAUAAUAAUAAUCAAAUAUAGCAUAAAGAGAAGAAUUUUUUAUGAUUGUGUCGUGCAAAGAAUAUCAUUGAAUUUCGUUGUGUUCGUUCUCUAUAGUAUUAGAAUCUAAACGGAUUUCGUUUGGUUUUAAAAAAAGCAAGGAAAAAUAACUAAACGCAACUCAACUCAUAAAUUUUAAACAAACGUGCUAAGAAAAUACUGCUUUGGUGUUUUUCGUUUCGUUUUUUUUUUUUUUUUUUUUUUCAAAUAAAGAAAGUACAAGAAUUUCUAAGAAAUCUCAAAAAAUCAAUUCGACGGAAGAAAAAAAAAAAAUAAAUAAAUAAAAGAAACAAGAACUCUGUGCAAUUUUCUUACCAUGUAUAAGGUGUUAUGCAUGGAUAAAAUUCUACUGUUUAUAUGAGAAAAGCGUGCGUAUUUUUUGUAGGACCCUUUCUUUAGCAACGCGGAAUAACGAAAGCCACGCCACGCAACGACAGAAUUACUACAACAUCAGCAUCACAAAAAGAAUUAAAAAAAAGUAGAAAAACAAGGGUGACUCAGACACAACAGGAAAAAGGAAAACAAUACAAACGAAACAAAAACUAUACAAGUAAAGUCUGCAGCUAGUCACAAGAACAAGAGAAUAACUGCACUAACCAUCAAACCAUCAUCUAUUAGCAACAACGCUGGCAAUUGGAUUGCCCUGCUUAACAGAAAUUGCAGUCAUAACUUCGGUACUUGAAAAGACAACAAAGACAAACAAGUUAAACUUAACAAAUCGACAGAAAGUCAUAAAUAUUGUUAUAUACACAUAAACACACACAUACGCAUACUUAAAAACAACUAUCAAAAUAGCAUAUAUAUAUAUAUAUAUAUAUAUGCGUGUUUGUGUAAAGCUGUAGAUAGGCAAACAUUUACAACUGAAAAAGCAUAAGAAGAAGAACUCAAAUUGAAACUGAGGCUAAGACGCACAAGCAAAUAAAUAUUCAAGUUAUAGUUGCAUAUAAAAUAGCUGCAACAACAUAACGAAUGUCAUAAAGAUCUAAAAGCAUACAGCACAACGCUUGUGACUACUCAAGCAAAUACGAAAAUAUUUACAAAAUAUAACCAAAGUUGAGCGUAGGGAGCCUUCGUUUUUUUUUUUUUUUUUUUUUUUUUUUUUUACAAAGUACCGUAUGAUUGUUUGUAUGUUUUGAAACAUUAUUGCAAACAAGAAUAACACGCAUAUCACAUAAAAUUUUAAUACAACAACUUACAUACGUCUGUGCUUAUGUGCCUGUGCCUGUUGUUAUGCGACCCAUAUUUCGUUAACGCAUUUAAAAAUUGUUACGCAUACAAACGAAAAGUAAACCAGCAGCAACCCUUCGACCGAGUGCCUUCAGUUCGUUUGAGUGUGUUUGCGUUUGCAAAUGAAAAAUUGCUUUCACGUUGCGUUCGUAACUUGAUAUCAAUAGUUAAAAAGGCAUAAUUUGCGAAACAAAAAAAAAAAAAA